GUACGGUUUUAUCGGAUUCUGGGCGUAAAGCGCGCGUAGGUGGUUUGAUAAGCGAGAUGUGAAAGCCCCGGGCUAAACCUGGGAACGGCAUUUCGAACUGUCAGGCUAGAGUAUGGUAGAGGGUAGUGGAAUUUCCUGUGUAGCGGUGAAAUGCGUAGAUAUAGGAAGGAACUCCAGUGGCGAAUGCGGCUAUCUGGACCAAUACUGACACUGAGGUGCGAAAGCGUGGGGAGCAAACAGGAUUAGAUACCCUGUUAGUCCACGCCCUAUACGAUGUUAACUAGGUGUAUGGAGAAU
RNAcentral lists this ribosomal RNA (297 nucleotides) under uncultured Marinobacter sp. RNAcentral describes it as "partial 16S ribosomal RNA". It matches the Rfam family "Bacterial small subunit ribosomal RNA", at positions 554 to 832 of the family's 1533-position model. The record is from RNAcentral. Lineage: Bacteria; Pseudomonadati; Pseudomonadota; Gammaproteobacteria; Pseudomonadales; Marinobacteraceae.